This 28-nucleotide non-coding RNA is filed under the name Mus musculus (house mouse). Lineage: Eukaryota; Metazoa; Chordata; Mammalia; Rodentia; Muridae. The record is from RNAcentral.
UGCUCACCAUAGAAAGGAGAAAGUGCUA